This 964-nucleotide ribosomal RNA is filed under the name Jellisonia klotsi. RNAcentral's name for it is "SSU rRNA". It matches the Rfam family "Eukaryotic small subunit ribosomal RNA", at positions 52 to 954 of the family's 1831-position model. Lineage: Eukaryota; Metazoa; Arthropoda; Insecta; Siphonaptera; Ceratophyllidae. The record is from RNAcentral.
UGCAUGUCUCAGUGCAAGCCACAUUAAGGUGAAACCGCGAAUGGCUCAUUACAUCAGUUAUGGUUCCUUAGAUCGUACCCACAUUACUUGGAUAACUGUGGUAAUUCUAGAGCUAAUACAUGCAAAUAGAGUUCCGACCAGAGAUGGGAGGAAUGCUUUUAUUAGAUCAAAACCAAUCGGUGGCGGGCUUGCCUUGCUCACCGUUUGACUUGGUGACUCUGAAUAACUUUGUGCUGAUCGCACGGUCUCGUACCGGCGACGCAUCUUUCAAAUGUCUGCCUUAUCAACUGUCGAUGGUAGUUUCUGCGACUACCAUGGUUGUUACGGGUAACGGGGAAUCAGGGUUCGAUUCCGGAGAGGGAGCCUGAGAAACGGCUACCACAUCCAAGGAAGGCAGCAGGCGCGCAAAUUACCCACUCCCGGCACGGGGAGGUAGUGACGAAAAAUAACGAUACGGGACUCAUCCGAGGCCCCGUAAUCGGAAUGAGUACACUUUAAAUCCUUUCACGAUUAACAAUUGGAGGGCAAGCCUGGUGCCAGCAGCCGCGGUAACUCCAGCUCCAAUAGCGUAUAUUAAAGUUGUUGCGGUUAAAAAGCUCGUAGUUGAAUCUGUGUCCCACACUGUCGGUUCACCGCUCGCGGUGUCCAACUGGCAUGUCUGUGGGACGUCCUACCGGUGGGCGCAGCCCGUCAAAAGGCGGCCCAACUCAAAAUCCUACCACGGUGCUCUUCACCGAGUGUCGAGGUGGGCCGGUACGUUUACUUUGAACAAAUUAGAGUGCUUAAAGCAGGCUCAUUCGCCUGAAUAUUCUGUGCAUGGAAUAAUGGAAUAGGACCUCGGUUCUAUUUUGUUGGUUUUCGGAACUCCGAGGUAAUGAUUAAUAGGGACAACUGGGGGCAUUCGUAUUGCGACGUUAGAGGUGAAAUUCUUGGAUCGUCGCAAGACGGACAGAAGCGAAAGAAA